UAUCAGCAACGUAAACGCGAAUAAUUCUAUUUGCCGACAUAAUCCAUUUAGAGAUAAAAUCCUAAGUGUCUACUUCGGUUUUCCACAUAUGUACUAGAUGUAUAAAAGCGCACCAACAAUGUUUAAUUUUCGCCUAAAUUAGGCCUUGAACGGUUGUCAUACUUAAUUUUUUUAUUGUGGUCGUUCAUUGGGUUUUAUUUGGUUAAGUAAGGAAGUUUUCGUAAAAAUAAGCAUUAGAUGUUAAUUUUGUUUAUUGGCAAGUGGUUUCAUUGGAAAAGUAUCUACAUAUAAAGUGUUUGUUACUUUACUUUGUUUUUAUUCGGAUCAACUUUUGUACAACUUACAUUAGAGAAAAUGUAUAUUGUGUGGGUGCCACUAAUGGGAUUGAGCCUUAUGUUGGGAAUAACUGCAUUUACCAGAAUAAGGUCUCAUACAGAAAUACACGAUGCAGAAAAAUUUUCUGAAAUGCUGAGGAAAAAGUUUAAGGGGCACGAAAAAUCACUAUCAUCGAAAUGAGUUAUUUAACCAUAUUGUAAAAUUGCUAGAUACGCUGACUCUGUUAAACUGCAUGUGCUCGACUGAAAAUCCGCUGUGAAUAGACCCGUCUUAAAUUAACUGGAAUUAUUUAGAACACUUGUACAACUGCCUGAUAGUAGCUUCUGUGAUAAUAAAAUAUGCAAUAUAUACUUUAUUGUUCUA
Long non-coding RNA from Anthonomus grandis grandis, 699 nucleotides. RefSeq lists it as uncharacterized. Lineage: Eukaryota; Metazoa; Arthropoda; Insecta; Coleoptera; Curculionidae. The transcript is spliced from 2 exons. The record is from RefSeq and is a predicted model, not a curated record.